GAUGAACGCUGGCGGCGUGCUUAACACAUGCAAGUCGAACGAAGCACUUUAUUUGAUUUCUUCGGAAUGAAGAUUUUGUGACUGAGUGGCGGACGGGUGAGUAACGCGUGGGUAACCUGCCUUGUACAGGGGGAUAACAGUUGGAAACGGCUGCUAAUACCGCAUAAGCGCACGGCAUCGCAUGAUGCAGUGUGAAAAACUCCGGUGGUAUAAGAUGGACCCGCGUUGGAUUAGCUAGUUGGUGAGGUAACGGCCCACCAAGGCGACGAUCCAUAGCCGACCUGAGAGGGUGACCGGCCACAUUGGGACUGAGACACGGCCCAAACUCCUACGGGAGGCAGCAGUGGGGAAUAUUGCACAAUGGGCGAAAGCCUGAUGCAGCGACGCCGCGUGAGCGAAGAAGUAUUUCGGUAUGUAAAGCUCUAUCAGCAGGGAAGAUAAUGACG
RNAcentral lists this ribosomal RNA (446 nucleotides) under uncultured bacterium. RNAcentral describes it as "bacterial SSU rRNA". It matches the Rfam family "Bacterial small subunit ribosomal RNA", at positions 28 to 456 of the family's 1533-position model. The record is from RNAcentral.